GGGAUGAUAGCUCAGUUGGGAGAGCGCGAGAGUGAAGUUCUUGAGGUCGGGCGUUCGAUCCGCCCUCGUCCCA
Molecule: transfer RNA, 73 nt
Filed under: Trichosporon asahii var. asahii CBS 8904
Lineage: Eukaryota; Fungi; Basidiomycota; Tremellomycetes; Trichosporonales; Trichosporonaceae
Description: tRNA-Phe (GAA) (tRNA-Phe-GAA-1 1 to 16)
Source: RNAcentral